ACUCCUGCGGGAGGCAGCAGUGGGGAAUAUUGGACAAUGGGCGCAAGCCUGAUCCAGCCAUGCCGCGUGUGUGAUGAAGGCCCUAGGGUUGUAAAGCUCUUUCACCGGUGAAGAUAAUGACGGUAACCGGAGAAGAAGCCCCGGCUAACUUCGUGCCAGCAGCCGCGGUAAUACGAAGGGGGCUAGCGUUGUUCGGAUUUACUGGGCGUAAAGCGCACGUAGGCGGACUAUUAAGUCAGGGGUGAAAUCCCGGGGCUCAACCCCGGAACUGCCUUUGAUACUGGUAGUCUUGAGUUCGAGGGAGGUGAGUGGAAUUCCGAGUGUAGAGGUGAAAUUCGUAGAUAUUCGGAGGAACACCAGUGGCGAAGGCGGCUCACUGGCUCGAUACUGACGCUGAGGUGCGAAAGCGUGGGGAGCAAACAGGAUUAGAAACCCUGGUAGUCCCA
RNAcentral lists this ribosomal RNA (446 nucleotides) under uncultured organism. RNAcentral describes it as "partial 16S ribosomal RNA". It matches the Rfam family "Bacterial small subunit ribosomal RNA", at positions 335 to 797 of the family's 1533-position model. The record is from RNAcentral.